Astatotilapia calliptera (eastern happy) is the source of this 1048-nucleotide long non-coding RNA. The record is from Ensembl. Lineage: Eukaryota; Metazoa; Chordata; Actinopteri; Cichliformes; Cichlidae.
GUCUACUCUGUCAUUUCAUAUGCAAUAGAAGUCCAGCUGCCUGUAUGGUCUUUCCCCCAGCAUUUUUAAAGUCUCCUGAGUUUUUUGCAGUUUCAAAUAUGUUCUUGUGUCUCACAAGGUUAGUGCACACCUGUUCUUAUACUCAGUGUUAUCAAUAUCACUGUGCUCUACAUGAAAAGAAAGGCAACCUCUCCUCAGUAAAUCCUGGUAGCUUUUUCAAACUGUUUGAACAGAAGCACUCAGUUUAAUCUAGUGUUAAGUGUAAAUGCUUCCACAGCUACUGGUUCCCUCCACUGAAGAGCAGCUGAUCAAACUGCAUCUACUAUUUACUACACGGUUUAGUCACUUAUGAUUAUGUUUAUUUCUGGUAUUUAAACUGACACUGGAUAGCUGUAUGUCACUUUUUUUUUUUUUUCCUAGAACAGGGAAGCUUGUGGAUUUUUUUUAAGGGCCUUACAUGGCUAAUCAUUCAUUUUUUCUUUAUGUUUCCAGUGGUUGUAGUUUCUUGAGUUCCCUGACUUGGGUAUCAACAAUCAGCAUCACUGCCUGGGGUGGUUAUUACCCUGCAGUUGUCCAUCGUUUAAUAAUUUCAUUGUGAAACAAAGCCUCGAGGCAGGUAUUUUGAAUCUGAGUAUUUUUUUAUUACACAGGUACUUUGAGUAAUCACCCCAGACUGAGCAUUGAUUAGGAAGGUCUGGGUAGACACUUUCUCUACAAAUUGUUUGCAGACAUGCUCAGGAUGUGAGGUAAUUUAAAUAAAUGAGCUUAAACAAGAAGCUUAAUACAAAUUUAAGCAACCAACCUAGUAACUUCAGCUUGAAACGUCAUAAUUAUAUCUUCAUUUGACAGGUGCAGUGGUCAGAUUUAUUUUGAUCAAUACAGCUUAAUCAACACAGCACACACUAUUCAUCAAGUCACAGAUGCCUCGAUGUUCUGAGGCACUGCCAUUAAUUUGUAAUUUUGAUAAAGGAUCUGUAUGACUUUCUGUGUAACAGCAGGUCCAGUGCUUCUGUUGUUUUCAUCCAUUUUGUUUAUGAGACAAAAUCUC